ACAAGCGAAUACAGGUUGUUAUCGGAACUUACAUGGGGACAGGGUACGUAUAACUGCCACCUUUGAAUGUUUGACCUUGUGUCUUAUUAAUAGUCAUAGCGUAACAAAGUCUAAUAAGGAACUGCCACCGUUUACAUUAGAAUGGUAGAUCCGAUGAAGUCAUUGGUAUUCGACGUAUCAUGAUUUUUGCUCCAGUAGCAAUCUGUCAACACUGUCGUCUCUAUUAUACUAUACUUAUUCAGAUUGUGUAUUUACAUCGUGUUCCAUCGUAUCGUUUUGAUGGAUUUACUUUACCAUUAACCCUGAUUACAUCUAUUACUAUCUUCGACUUUAAAAAAUAAAUUGCCAUGUCCGUGGAAUUUAAUGAAUGAAGAGACGCGAUAAUGAACAAUGUCCUGCUCGUCCACUACUAUAUCGAUCGAGAUAUAAAUCUGAGAAGAAGCAUCAACAUUAUUUAAAAUGAAAUCGUUGAUACUGUUUACCGAUUUAUUUUGUUGGAGCUAAUAUUGCUCGCUCUUGAAACCGGAAAAAAGAGAUGUGUUAAAAGAAGAGUCGGAAUAAUUCAUUCAUGCUCUUGGCCAUAUUACAAAAAAUAUUAGAAAAGUGGGUUAUCGAGUGGAACCUUUCCGCUAUAGUUCGCAAAACCUUCCAUAGAGACGUUUAUGGUAAGAGAAAGCUCCUGAUUCGAGGAGCACGCAUAAGAUCUUUUAAGGCAUUCGUUGACUCAGCUCACGUACCUUUGAAUAUUACGGGCAAGGUUUACCAAGUCUUCUAGCACACAGUGACAUUUCCUAUCAACUCUCUGUUAUUAUUACCAAUGUCCUUGAAAGUUCUACCAAAAGUUUCUAUUCCACUUUUACGAGACAUUGAACUGUCGUCCCACACAAUGACAGAACAUGAUAAAAGAAUCUUGGAUUUAACGCUUUGCUUUGAAAUGUUGCACACGGCGUUUUCAUCUCAACAUAUAUUUGAUGGUAAUUUAGACAUUGCGUGCUAAAAACGUUGCAACUAUCCCAGCUGAGGCAACUGCAAGCGCAAUUCGACCUUCGAAGCGUAGAUUGUUAAACAGCAAAUUGAUCAUGAAAGUUUUUCUUGUUCUAUCAGGUGCGUCCAAAGGACGUUUCGUUUCGCGCACUGGUAAGAAUCGCAUUAUAUGCAAUUCUUGAUCGUCAUUUAGGGUUAAUCUAGUUGCAAAUAUCUUCUGUUCAUUAUAAGAUCUUGUGCACUGUUCGAAAAAAAGAAGGCUUAGGGUUCUCUCGCUCUUCCCUAAUAUCGACUGUACGAUUUUAUCAAUUUCAGUAAGGGCUGAGAUGAAAAUUAUAUCGUUUGAAUUCCAAGUCUGGCAAUGAAUGCUUGGUCCGGAUGCGGUGUAAGGUACGGCCUGGCACGCUAUCUCUGUGCUUCAUCGACAAAAAUAGUACAUCGGAUAUUUGACAAAAUGCUAAUAUCACAGAAAAUAAAAAUCCAACGUUCGAAACAGAACUUGCGAGGACCGCUUCUAUGAGAGUCUUGUCCUAAUAGGAAUCGUUUUCUAACAGAUCGAAUGUUUUACAGGCCGGCUGAAGAAAUGGGCCAUCGCACGAUUUACAGCGAUAGACUUUUAACGACGCGGAGUAACAUUCGUAGACAGUAGCAUUCGUAUUGUUGGGGUGGGUGGUGUACACGUGACUGACUGCGUUUUUUUAGCGAGGAACCUAGCUUACGACGUUAAAACAUAUUAUAAUUUUAAGUACAAUAUGAAGAUAUCUCGUUGCAGAGUAGCGUUUUGGCAAAAUGAUCAACGACAUACAACUUAAAAAAUGCCACCAAUGUAGUAUUUCACGAAUGUACUGAGAUAUCGGCAGCAUUGUCGCCGGUAAAUAGAACACGCUGUCCAUUCUCAAAAUAGGCAGUCAAGUGCAUAAUGGUAGGCGACGUCUCGUGGAUGCUAAACGAUAGUAUUCUCCAUUUCAUUUUAAGCAUUAAUGCUGAAAGUGGCUUGAUCACUUUCUUUGCUGAUGUAUUCGCAUAUAUACAAGGUGAUUGGUGGUACAAGCGGAAAGGGGGUGAUUCUACGCAAAAAAAGAAGUCGAAAAUAUAGAAUAAAAAUUUUUCGUUUGAGGCUUUGUUUUCGAGAAAAUCGACUUUGAAUUUUCGCUCGUGCACUUAUCACGUCUCGUUAUAACGGAUCUCACUGUAGAUCUUUAAAAAAAUUAAAAAAAAAUUUUUAUUCUAUAUUUUCAACUUCUUUUUUCGCGUAGAAUCACCCCCUUUCCGCUUGUACCACCAUUUACCAACCACCCUGUAUAUAUAUGUGUGUGAACGAUUUAACGAAGUUACAGAGUUCAACAUUGAUAUGAGAGCUAAACGUUGUGAAAAGAGCGGUGUUGUAUGGUCUGACCUACCGGUUGUCGGUAACCUUUUCUCCCCCCGAUCCAAUCUCAUCGUAGGAUAUUUUUUACUGCAUACCUCCAUUGCCGAACGAACAUUUUGCAUUCAAGGGUCCGUACGAUACCUGGGUCAUUUAUGUGACAAUCAUUACGUGUAGUUCUGAAUCUGAGAAUAGGAUCAGGAAUUUCAACACUAAUCGGAGAAUCUAUUUUGUCGGACCUGAUUUUACUUUGCAGCCAAACCAAAAGUUGUAUGUAUUUGCUAUUCUACGGUGUAUAGGAAAUAUUUAGUAGCUCCAAAAAUGUUGCCUUUAUUAACCAAGUAUAUUUAUUUUACGUAACUCCAAAAGAAACGUAAUUGACCUUUAUAUGCCCCCAAAAAGACUAAUAAUACGAAAUCGUAGUCUCCUCCACGCUAUUUAACCCUUGGCAUCGUUCUAUUUGUGAUCGGUUAUUUCACGUGCUAAGAAAUAAUUUCCUGUUUCCUCGUUAAUAUCAUGUUACUUGUCUUUUAUUUGACUGCGAAAUACGAACAUAUCGUAAAUGUUGUCAACACAAGAGCUAACAGAACAUUAACGUCACUUUCCAGGAGAACGGUUGAGUUUCAUGAAGCCUAUAGUUUCUUUUGGAAAGUUAAUCCUCGCUAUGAGUAGAAUACGAAAACCGAGUAUGUGGAAUCACGCUAUCCUGGUCGCAACAUAUAAUUUCUUAACGGCCGAUACACUUGAGAGCAGAACGUUUGAGCAGUUUUACUCCAUCGGUCGAACUAAGAGUAUCCAAGCUUCGCAUAUCGCGUGUCUUGCGGAUUAAUCCAAUCGUUUCAGCGCUAGUUUUUCUGAAUCAAUCGCCUAAAGUUGACUCGCGGCAUGAUACGCGAGUGGGUGAGACUUUUACCCUCACUGACACGAUGCAACCCACUUUUUGUGCUUUUUUUAUAUGUAGCACCUCGUAAUUUAACUUCCUGUUAAGUUCAUAAAAUAAAACUCCGUGUAUCA
Molecule: long non-coding RNA, 3364 nt
Organism: Bombus huntii
Lineage: Eukaryota; Metazoa; Arthropoda; Insecta; Hymenoptera; Apidae
Exons: 2
Source: RefSeq, a predicted model, not a curated record